UCCGUUGGUGAACCAGCGGAGGGAUCAUUA
This 30-nucleotide ribosomal RNA is filed under the name Sarocladium strictum. RNAcentral's name for it is "partial 18S ribosomal RNA". Lineage: Eukaryota; Fungi; Ascomycota; Sordariomycetes; Hypocreales; Sarocladiaceae. The record is from RNAcentral. RNAcentral also lists the same sequence under 80 other names.